This 24-nucleotide non-coding RNA is filed under the name Cricetulus griseus (Chinese hamster). The record is from RNAcentral. Lineage: Eukaryota; Metazoa; Chordata; Mammalia; Rodentia; Cricetidae.
GAUGGGGGCAGGUAGGGUGACUGU